Molecule: long non-coding RNA, 293 nt
Filed under: Ananas comosus (pineapple)
Lineage: Eukaryota; Viridiplantae; Streptophyta; Magnoliopsida; Poales; Bromeliaceae
Description: long non-coding RNA (ACOM_LNC033480)
Source: RNAcentral
CUUCCCUGUUCUACCCAUCUUUUGCUUGCCCCACAAGACACUCUUUUACCAUCAGAUCAUGAUAUGAUGAUGGAUGAAACCCUUACCAACCCUGUUGCUGGUGUUACUAGCUCUCCACUUAGUUUAAAUGCCCCGAACAAUGACAUUGAUAUGUUACAUAUACCCAAUCCUUCAAACCCAUCAGAUAACCCAACUACAAAUCUUCCUAAACCUUUCUUUUUUCCUCUUCCCUCCCCUCAAACCACCCAUACUAACCUAGCAGCCCAAAUUGAGCAAGUUCUCUCUUCGCCUGC